UACAAAGGUGGCAAGCGUUGUUCGGAAUUACUGGGCGUAAAGGGCGCGUAGGCGGCCUCUUUAGUCAGACGUGAAAUCCCCCGGCUUAACCUGGGAACUGCGUCUGAUACUGGGAGGCUAGAGUUCGGGAGAGGGAUGUAGAAUUCCAGGUGUAGCGGUGAAAUGCGUAGAUAUCUGGAGGAAUACCGGUGGCGAAGGCGGCAUCCUGGACCGAAACUGACGCUGAGGCGCGAAAGCUAGGGGAGCAAACGGG
Molecule: ribosomal RNA, 253 nt
Filed under: uncultured bacterium
Lineage: Bacteria
Description: partial 16S ribosomal RNA
Rfam family: Bacterial small subunit ribosomal RNA
Source: RNAcentral